CAAAGGAUAGUUUAAAUAAAAAUCAUAGCUUUGGGAGUUAUAAAUAUAAGUUAGAGCCUUAUUCCUUUGA
RNAcentral lists this transfer RNA (70 nucleotides) under Arbacia lixula (black urchin). RNAcentral describes it as "transfer RNA-Pro". It matches the Rfam family "tRNA". From Rfam's summary of the family: Transfer RNA (tRNA) molecules are approximately 80 nucleotides in length. Their secondary structure includes four short double-helical elements and three loops (D, anti-codon, and T loops). Further hydrogen bonds mediate the characteristic L-shaped molecular structure. tRNAs have two regions of fundamental functional importance: the anti-codon, which is responsible for specific mRNA codon recognition, and the 3' end, to which the tRNAs corresponding amino acid is attached (by aminoacyl-tRNA synthetases). tRNAs cope with the degeneracy of the genetic code in two manners: having more than one tRNA (with a specific anti-codon) for a particular amino acid; and 'wobble' base-pairing, i.e. permitting non-standard base-pairing at the 3rd anti-codon position. Lineage: Eukaryota; Metazoa; Echinodermata; Echinoidea; Arbacioida; Arbaciidae. The record is from RNAcentral.